CGAGUGGCGGACGGGUGAGUAAUGUCUGGGAAACUGCCUGAUGGAGGGGGAUAACUACUGGAAACGGUAGCUAAUACCGCAUAACGUCGCAAGACCAAAGAGGGGGACCUUCGGGCCUCUUGCCAUCGGAUGUGCCCAGAUGGGAUUAGCUAGUAGGUGGGGUAACGGCUCACCUAGGCGACGAUCCCUAGCUGGUCUGAGAGGAUGACCAGCCACACUGGAACUGAGACACGGUCCAGACUCCUACGGGAGGCAGCAGUGGGGAAUAUUGCACAAUGGGCGCAAGCCUGAUGCAGCCAUGCCGCGUGUAUGAAGAAGGCCUUCGGGUUGUAAAGUACUUUCAGCGGGGAGGAAGGGAGUAAAGUUAAUACCUUUGCUCAUUGACGUUACCCGCAGAAGAAGCACCGGCUAACUCCGUGCCAGCAGCCGCGGUAAUACGGAGGGUGCAAGCGUUAAUCGGAAUUACUGGGCGUAAAGCGCACGCAG
RNAcentral lists this ribosomal RNA (486 nucleotides) under Escherichia coli. Its description in RNAcentral is "bacterial SSU rRNA". It matches the Rfam family "Bacterial small subunit ribosomal RNA", at positions 92 to 574 of the family's 1533-position model. The record is from RNAcentral. Lineage: Bacteria; Pseudomonadati; Pseudomonadota; Gammaproteobacteria; Enterobacterales; Enterobacteriaceae.